Molecule: transfer RNA, 71 nt
Filed under: Camelus bactrianus (Bactrian camel)
Lineage: Eukaryota; Metazoa; Chordata; Mammalia; Artiodactyla; Camelidae
Also listed under: 2 other names
Rfam family: tRNA
About the family: Transfer RNA (tRNA) molecules are approximately 80 nucleotides in length. Their secondary structure includes four short double-helical elements and three loops (D, anti-codon, and T loops).
Source: Rfam by way of RNAcentral
GGGGGAGGGUCAAGUGGUAGAGAGCAUGCUUAGCAUGCAUGAGGUCCUGGGUUCAAUCCCCAGUUUCUCCU